UCCACGCAGAAGAAAGGCCUCUCCCUCUCUCUUGCUCUGUCUCUAUCAUUCUCUCUCUCCGUUAGUCCCUUACUCUGUUUCUCUCGCUUUAUCUCUCCCCUCUGUCUCUCUCUUACUCACUGUUUCUCACACUCCCUCACUCUCUAUUCCUCUCACUCUCUCUCCCUAACAUUCUGUUUCUCUCACUCCAUCUCUCCUUUCUCUCUUUGCUGUCCCUCUCUUACGUUCUGUUUCUCUCUCUCACUCUGUCUCUCUCCCUAACAUUCCGAUUCUCUUACUUUCUCACUGUCUCUCCUUUCCCACUUUCCUUCUCUUUAACUCUGUCUCUCUCGCUCUGCCUCUGUCGCUGUCUCUCUCCCUUACAUUUGUUUCUUUCAAUUGCUCUCUUUUCUGUCUCCCUCCUUUCUCGUUCUGUCUUUUCCCUUUAAUUAUGUUUCUCUCACAUCUCCCCUUUCUCAUUCUCUGUAUUUUCCGUACUCUCUGUUUCUCUCACUCUCUCACUCUAUCCCUCACCCUCGCGAUCUGUCUCUCUCCCUUACAUUUGAUUUCUCUCGCUCCUCUUACUUUAUCUCCCCCGUCUCUUAUUUCAUCUAUGGUUCUCUCUCUCACUCAAUGUUUCUCCCCUCUCUGUCUUAUCUUUUAUUAGCACUUUCCCUAAUUCUCUUAUUUUAUCUGCAUCUUCCCCACUGCCCUAUCCCUUCAUUAUUGGCUCUAUAGCAUCCUUUAUUUCAUCCUCCCUUUCUUUCAGUCUAUUUUCUUCUCUCCCACUCCUCGUUCUCUCUCUCUCCAACAGAACACAGUGGCCUGCGUCAUCCUCUCAGUGUCAGGCAGAGGGAGACAGGGAGACAAGCAGGCUACAGGGUAUGAGACACUGGAGCAAUGCUGUGCAACAAGCAACAUGGAGAUGACAUUGAAUAAGAAGCUGAGAUCUCCUCCACCAAGACAACAGCUGAACCCGUGUGUUUCAUGCGCUUGUGUUUGUUCACUUGUGUUUUUUGUUAUAAUCAUUCCAAGACUAUGCAAUUGUGUGUUUACGUCUAAAUUCUGUCUAUGUCUGUAAGUUACGUCUGAAACAAUUUGUCUGAAACAAUGUCCCAACCCUGUUGGGGAUAUCUGUAGGGACCACCUCUGUUUCAAUGUGACACUUAGUCUGACCAACCCUGUUGCUGUCAUUGUUGGAUAAUAAUAAAUUAUCUCAGUGAGACUAACCUGGAUAAAUAAAGGUGAAAUAAAAAUAUACAUUUCAAA
Molecule: long non-coding RNA, 1248 nt
Organism: Oncorhynchus nerka (sockeye salmon)
Lineage: Eukaryota; Metazoa; Chordata; Actinopteri; Salmoniformes; Salmonidae
Exons: 2
Source: RefSeq, a predicted model, not a curated record